This 380-nucleotide ribosomal RNA is filed under the name uncultured eukaryote. RNAcentral describes it as "partial 18S ribosomal RNA". It matches the Rfam family "Eukaryotic small subunit ribosomal RNA", at positions 592 to 976 of the family's 1831-position model. The record is from RNAcentral.
CAAUAGCGUAUAUUAAAGUUGUUGCAGUUAAAAAGCUCGUAGUUGGAUUUGUGGCGUACGGUGUGUUCCGGGCACUUGUUGUCUGAGUAACCUGCUGUUGCCAUCCUUGGGUGGUACCUGUGUGGCAUUAGGUUGUCGUGCAGGGGAUGCCCAUCAUUUACUGUGAAAAAAUUAGAGUGUUCAAAGCAGGCUUAUGCCGUUGAAUAUAUUAGCAUGGAAUAAUGAGAUAGGACUUUUUUGCUAUUUUGUUGGUUUGCGCAAGAAGGUAAUGAUUAAUAGGGACAGUUGGGGGUAUUCGUAUUCCAUUGUCAGAGGUGAAAUUCUUGGAUUUUUGGAAGACGAACUACUGCGAAAGCAUUUACCAAGGAUGUUUUCAUUAA